UGGGGAAUUUUGCACAAUGGGGGAAACCCUGAUGCAGCGACGCCGCGUGAUUUAGAAGGCCUUCGGGUUGUAAAAAUCUUUUCUAUGGGAAGAAAAUGACAGUACCAUAGGAAUAAGGACCGGCUAAUUACGUGCCAGCAGCCGCGGUAAUACGUAAGGUCCGAGCGUUGUCCGGAAUCAUUGGGCGUAAAGGGUACGUAGGCGGGUAAGCAAGUUAGAAGUGAAAUCCUAUAGCUCAACUAUAGUAAGCUUUUAAAACUGCUCAUCUUGAGGUAUGGAAGGGAAAGUGGAAUUCCUAGUGUAGCGGUGAAAUGCGCAGAUAUUAGGAGGAAUACAGGUGGCGAAGGCGACUUUCUGGCUAUAACCUGACGCUGAGGUACGAAAGCGUGGGUAGCAAACAGG
Molecule: ribosomal RNA, 402 nt
Filed under: bacterium
Lineage: Bacteria
Description: partial 16S ribosomal RNA
Rfam family: Bacterial small subunit ribosomal RNA
Source: RNAcentral